RNAcentral lists this ribosomal RNA (497 nucleotides) under uncultured bacterium. RNAcentral's name for it is "partial 16S ribosomal RNA". It matches the Rfam family "Bacterial small subunit ribosomal RNA", at positions 28 to 507 of the family's 1533-position model. The record is from RNAcentral.
GAUGAACGCUGGCGGCGUGCCUAAUACAUGCAAGUCGAGCGAACAGACGAGGAGCUUGCUCCUCUGACGUUAGCGGCGGACGGGUGAGUAACACGUGGAUAACCUACCUAUAAGACUGGGAUAACUUCGGGAAACCGUAGCUAAUACCGGAUAAUAUAUUGAACUGCAUGGUUCAAUAGUGAAAGACGGUUUUGCUGUCACUUAUAGAUGGAUCCGCGCCGCAUUAGCUAGUUGGUAAGGUAACGGCUUAACAAGGCAACGAUGCGUAGCCGACCUGAGAGGGUGAACGGCCACACUGGAACUGAGACACGGUCCAGACUCCUACGGGAGGCAGCAGUAGGGAAUCUUCCGCAAUGGGCGAAAGCCUGACGGAGCAGCGCCGCGUGAAUGAUGAAGGUCUUCGGAUCGUAAAACUCUGUUAUUAUGGAAGAACAAAUGUGUAAGUAACUAUGCUCGUCUUGACGGUACCUAAUCAGAAAGCCACGGCUAACUACGUG